RNAcentral lists this long non-coding RNA (284 nucleotides) under Gallus gallus (chicken). The record is from RNAcentral. Lineage: Eukaryota; Metazoa; Chordata; Aves; Galliformes; Phasianidae.
CGACUCUCUUCAUGAAUAAGAACCUCCUUAGCUUGCUGCAGCUUCUGGAAAUUCUCCACUGCUUUGGGGUUUCCAGGGUGUUUGUCAGGAUGACAUUCAAGGGCUUUAAUCUUAAAUUCUGCAAGAAUUUGUUCAACCGUAGAUAGUUCAUCACAUCCUAGCAAGUUGUAGUAAUCUUCCAACUCAUCCAGUCUGCAGUUCAAAAUUGCAUCCAUCUGGGCUGGUCCAGCAGGCUUUUUCAAGCUGAGGCACAGCGGGUUUAAAACACAAUAUCAAUACACAGC